AGAGUUUGAUCCUGGCUCAGGAUGAACGCUAGCGGCAGGCUUAACACAUGCAAGUCGAGGGGCAGCGGGGAGGAAGCUUGCUUUCUCCGCCGGCGACCGGCGCACGGGUGAGUAACACGUAUGCAACCUGCCCCUGUCAGGGGGACAACCCGCCGAAAGGCGGGCUAAACCCGCGUACAUGCCACCGGGGCAUCCCGGAGGCAGGAAAGGCUUCGGCCGGACAGGGAUGGGCAUGCGGCGCAUUAGGCAGUAGGCGGGGUAACGGCCCACCUAACCGACGAUGCGUAGGGGUUCUGAGAGGAAGGUCCCCCACACUGGUACUGAGACACGGACCAGACUCCUACGGGAGGCAGCAGUGAGGAAUAUUGGUCAAUGGUCGGGAGACUGAACCAGCCAAGCCGCGUGAGGGAGGAAGGUACAGAGUAUCGUAAACCUCUUUUGUCAGGGAACAAAGGCGGGGACGUGUCCCCGGAUGAGUGUACCUGAAGAAAAAGCAUCGGCUAACUCCGUGCCAGCAGCCGCGGUAAUACGGAGGAUGCGAGCGUUAUCCGGAUUCAUUGGGUUUAAAGGGUGCGCAGGCGGGCCUUUAAGCCGGCGGUGAAAUCGCGGGGCUCAACCCCGCCGAGCCGUCGGAACUGGGGGCCUUGAGUGCGGCGGAGGCAUGCGGAAUGCGCGGUGUAGCGGUGAAAUGCAUAGAUAUCGCGCAGAACCCCGAUUGCGAAGGCAGCGUGCCGUGCCGCCACUGACGCUGAGGCACGAAAGCGCGGGGAUCGAACAGGAUUAGAUACCCUGGUAGUCCGCGCCGUAAACGAUGGAUGCUGGGUGUCCGGGGCGUUCAGGCCCUGGGUGCCGGAGCGAAAGCGGUAAGCAUCCCACCUGGGGAGUACGCCGGCAACGGUGAAACUCAAAGGAAUUGACGGGGGCCCGCACAAGCGGAGGAACAUGUGGUUUAAUUCGAUGAUACGCGAGGAACCUUACCCGGGCUCAAACGGGGGGCGCGGGCGGCAGAGACGCCGCCGUCCUUAUGGACGUCCCCCGAGGUGCUGCAUGGUUGUCGUCAGCUCGUGCCGUGAGGUGUCGGAUUAAGUUCCAUAACGAGCGCAACCCCCGCGCGCAGUUGCUAACGGGUCAGGCCGAGGACUC
Molecule: ribosomal RNA, 1143 nt
Filed under: mouse gut metagenome
Description: bacterial SSU rRNA
Rfam family: Bacterial small subunit ribosomal RNA
Source: RNAcentral